Epinephelus moara (kelp grouper) is the source of this 803-nucleotide long non-coding RNA. RefSeq lists it as uncharacterized. Lineage: Eukaryota; Metazoa; Chordata; Actinopteri; Perciformes; Serranidae. The record is from RefSeq and is a predicted model, not a curated record. The transcript is spliced from 3 exons.
AUCUACAAUAACCAUGUUAUUAAUUACACACAGAGAAAAUACUAAUGUUUGUUCACUGCCAUGUGUAUUUGUUUUCAAUGAAGUCGUUGAGAAAUCAAUCCGUGGAGCGGUUGAUUAUCAUACACGUUGUGAUGUGUGUAUUGUUGUAGUCUUAUCUGUCAUAAACUGUAACGAGAUUAUGGGGCGCGUGUGUGGCGCGAUCGUUGUGUAUGCUGCACAUGUUUUGGCUGCUACUCUCCAUUGUUUUUGCUGUUUUGUUGCUGCUUACCUGACUACUACUUCAUGUCACCAAUAUUGUUUCAUCCUUCAGUUCAAUAAAUUCAUAGAAAUGAUUAUGGCUGUCAUGUUCUCAUUUCUUUAUAAACACAGUGACUGAAGACGGUGACGGUGACGUCACUUCCGGGUCGGAUCUUUGUGCUUGGACAGGUAACGCGGUUUGUCUGCUCACCUGCUGUGUUCGGCUCAUGUGGCAGGGAGCUAAUGUUUGUGUGUCCUGCAGAGCGGCUGACUUGGGGCUUUCAGAGACUCCUGUGUGUGUGUGUCACCUAGAUGGCCUGCUGCGGUGAAGGCCGGUAGCUGUGCGAUUCUCUCCCUCUACUCUGGUGUGUGUCAUACCCAGCCGACCCGGCUAAUCGAUCCCAGCUGCCUAACAGUGUGUGAGCGACGUCAGCUGCCCAAUAGUGUGCGAGUGACGUCGGCAUCAGCUGAUCGGGUGCGGCGUGUUUAAAGCGACAUAUCGCCACCAGUUACGGGGGACCGCUGCUGUUUUUUUUUUUUGUUUGUUUCUGUGCUUUUUCUGUGCU